Molecule: ribosomal RNA, 403 nt
Filed under: uncultured bacterium
Lineage: Bacteria
Description: partial 16S ribosomal RNA
Rfam family: Bacterial small subunit ribosomal RNA
Source: RNAcentral
GACGAACGCUGGCGGCGUGCCUAAUACAUGCAAGUCGAACGCAGUGGGGACGGGUGAGUAACACGUGGGUAACCUCCCAUCAGAGGGGAGAAAACUUGGAAACCGGUGCUAAACUGAUACUGAUGGAUGGACCCGCGGGGAAUUAGCUGGUUGGUGAGGUAACGGCUCACCAAGGCCACGAGGCAUAGCGGACCUGAGAGGGUGAUCGGCCACACUGGGACUGAGACACGGCCCAGCCUCCUACGUGAGGCAGCAGUAGGGAAUAUUCGGCAAUGGACGAAAGUCUGACCGAGCAACGCCGCGUGAAUGAAGAAGGUUUUCGGAUCGUAAAACUCUGUUGUUAGAGAAGCGGUAUCUAACCAGAAAGCCACGGCUAACUCCGUGCCAGCAGCCGCGGUAAUCC